This 432-nucleotide ribosomal RNA is filed under the name uncultured bacterium. RNAcentral's name for it is "bacterial SSU rRNA". It matches the Rfam family "Bacterial small subunit ribosomal RNA", at positions 962 to 1393 of the family's 1533-position model. The record is from RNAcentral.
CGAAGAACCUUACCAGGUCUUGACAUCCUCUGCCACUCCUAGAGAUAGGACGUUCCCCUUCGGGGGACAGAGUGACAGGUGGUGCAUGGUUGUCGUCAGCUCGUGUCGUGAGAUGUUGGGUUAAGUCCCGCAACGAGCGCAACCCUUGAUCUUAGUUGCCAGCAUUCAGUUGGGCACUCUAAGGUGACUGCCGGUGACAAACCGGAGGAAGGUGGGGAUGACGUCAAAUCAUCAUGCCCCUUAUGACCUGGGCUACACACGUGCUACAAUGGAUGGUACAACGAGUUGCGAGACCGCGAGGUUUAGCUAAUCUCUUAAAACCAUUCUCAGUUCGGAUUGUAGGCUGCAACUCGACUCCAUGAAGUCGGAAUCGCUAGUAAUCGUGGAUCAGGAUGCCACGGUGAAUACGUUCCCGGGCCUUGUACACACCGA